AGUGGCGAACGGGUGAGUAACACGUGAGCAAUCUGCCCCUGACUCUGGGAUAAGCGCUGGAAACGGCGUCUAAUACCGGAUACGAGCUGCGAAGGCAUCUUCAGCAGCUGGAAAGAAUUUCGGUCAGGGAUGAGCUCGCGGCCUAUCAGCUUGUUGGUGAGGUAACGGCUCACCAAGGCGUCGACGGGUAGCCGGCCUGAGAGGGUGACCGGCCACACUGGGACUGAGACACGGCCCAGACUCCUACGGGAGGCAGCAGUGGGGAAUAUUGCACAAUGGGCGAAAGCCUGAUGCAGCAACGCCGCGUGAGGGACGACGGCCUUCGGGUUGUAAACCUCUUUUAGCAGGAAAGAAGCGAAAGUGACGGUACCUGCAGAAAAAGCGCCGGCUAACUACGUGCCAGCAGCCGCGGUAAUACGUAGGGCGCAAGCGUUAUCCGGAAUUAUUGGGCGUAAAGAGCUCGUAGGCGGUCUGUCGCGUCUGCUGUGAAAACCCGAGGCUCAACCUCGGGCCUGCAGUGGGUACGGGCAGACUAGAGUGCGGUAGGGGAGAUUGGAAUUCCUGGUGUAGCGGUGGAAUGCGCAGAUAUCAGGAGGAACACCGAUGGCGAAGGCAGAUCUCUGGGCCGUAACUGACGCUGAGGAGCGAAAGGGUGGGGAGCAAACAGGAUUAGAUACCCUGGUAGUCCACGCNGUAAACG
This 700-nucleotide ribosomal RNA is filed under the name uncultured Microbacteriaceae bacterium. RNAcentral's name for it is "bacterial SSU rRNA". It matches the Rfam family "Bacterial small subunit ribosomal RNA", at positions 94 to 808 of the family's 1533-position model. The record is from RNAcentral. Lineage: Bacteria; Bacillati; Actinomycetota; Actinomycetes; Micrococcales; Microbacteriaceae.